AACAGAAAAUACCCUGUUUGACCAGUAACUGGUGAAUCAAUUUAAAGAGUCUCAAUCAGUGAAGCCUCUGCUUAGAGGGCAGAAUGGACCUUACAGUCUGGAGACUGUUGAUUCAUACAGUAUAUGGACGCCGCCUUCAUCUGACUAUAACUGUGAUACCCCAGGAGACAGUAAACAACUCAGUGUUGUUGGUUGGGUUCAAAAACCACCAGGGAUUCUUGGUUUGUCAAUGGACAGCAACCCACUCAGCUCAACAGACACUUGUGAGUCUGGUGCGUCCUCAGGGUCAUCCAUCUUUGGAGAUUCCUGUUUCAGAGAGAUGUAAAUAACAAGGAAAAAUUCUUCACACUGAAGUGACGUGUUUCCUGAAGAACGAGAGAAAACUUCAAAUAAAAUAGAAAAAGUCUGGUUUUGAGCCACAACGCUGCACUGAUCCUCUCACCACCCACAGUGAAGACAAUGUCAUCCAUCUGUUUCUGACACCAUGAGAAACAGAGGACACUGGAGUCUCAAGAAGACCUUAAGAGACUGAGGCGAGAUCUUGUACUGUAUGUCAUGGCAAAGAGGAUGUUUUCUUUGCAGGCAAAUGGUCAUCUAAUGAGUCACUUUUAAUGUCACAGUGGUUUCUAUAUGCAAAUAUGCUAUUACUAAUCUUUUUUUAUGUACAGUUCCAAAAUUUGAGCCAGCAUGGGAGGGGGGUGGGGGUAGGUGAGGAGUCAUUUGGGGGAACACACACUUCCUUAUGAAACAUGGGUUUGUCAAAGCCAUCUUCCAUUUUUGAUUAUUCAAGUCCACAAAACCUACAGGAGGGGUAGUAGUGAUGUAGCUCACCCUGACAACACUACAUGGGAGUAUUUUUAAUUAGUGAAAAUGCAAUGAUUGAGCCAAUUGAAUAUGAGAUACUAUUCAAGAAAAAGUAGGUAUUACCAUAAGAUAUUUUUAUUUUUGAGAAAAAUAGUCCUUAAUUUUUUUCUUUGUAUCCCCUUUUAUACAUUUUGCAUUUUUUUAUUCUUUGACAACAACAAUAUAACUCAGGCUUAGUCUCAUGAUAUCUGGUCUAUGGAGCUCAACCAAGACUUCAAGACAAGUUAUUGUCGUUAAUCAGGACUCCUGUACUGGAUCUUUGCUUUCUGUCCUACUAUAUAUGCCAAUUCAUGAGCAAAUCCAAUUCUUCAGGCCCAAUAGUUUCAUUCCAGCUCAGAUGUAACUUGCUUGUUCAAGCUAAUUAUCUGGACAAGAACCCUGUUCACAUGUCAAUGUUUUAGGUCUUAAUUCCUAAAAAUUGCUAAAUGAAACGUACCCAUAAGAUGUGUUGCCAAGGGCUGUUCAGCUCCUGAGAUUAGUGUAAUUACAGUUUAUGCUUAAAGCCCUUCUCUUGCCUCUUUAAUUGUCACAACAUUAGAGAAAUUGUGAAAACGCUUUUUUAAAUACUUCCUCCUCCUUGCACAAGUGAUCUGUACACUUUAUUAGUGUUUUCGUCUCUACUGUUGGGUCCCAGCUCUCUUUGAAGUUCCUUCUGGGAUAAAAGAAAAAUCCUGCCGUGAAGCCAGCUCUAUACUGGGGUAAUCACAGCCUUCUGAUCCUCCUAGGAAGUAAUUAAUAUGUUGGAGGGAAAUCUAAACAUGCGUUAAAGUCCAUCCGCAAACAAGGAAAUAACACUCUUCUUCUCACUGUUUUUGAAGCAAGUUUUUUUUUUUAAUAUUUCCAAAACAAUGAAACAUUCAUUGUUGUUUGGUAUAUAUUUGAUUUGAAUUCAACAAUAUUUGAAAAAAGAAAUAUCAUCUAAGCAGUAGUUUUAUUUAAAUUUCACUGACAUGCAAAACAGAUGCCUGUAGAUCUAUAAGUAAGACUUCCAGAUAACUUUUUAGUAUUCCGACAUUAUUUUUUUCAAUAUUUAGUGUCCCCCGAUAUCCAUUUUAGCCAUUAGCUUAACAAACUUUCAACUUUUAAUAUUCAAGCAAUGCUUAAAUUCACUUUGGAAAGGAGGAUCAUUAUGGGUAUUUUUUCUCUGCCAAAAAUAAAUGUAUAGUUAUUUCCAUUAACACAGAUCACAAGCAAAUACAGGUCAAAAUCUAAAAGGCAAAGCAUACCUGCUUUGAAAAGAUAUAGAUUGAGAAUUUUUACUCAUCAAAUGCUCUCUGAGGCUAAUUUGAAAAGUGAAACUUCUAAAAACAUUGCUUAGUUUUUCUUGUCAUAUUACCCAAACAAAUCU
Lepisosteus oculatus (spotted gar) is the source of this 2212-nucleotide non-coding RNA. The record is from RefSeq and is a predicted model, not a curated record. Lineage: Eukaryota; Metazoa; Chordata; Actinopteri; Semionotiformes; Lepisosteidae.